RNAcentral lists this long non-coding RNA (324 nucleotides) under Sarcophilus harrisii (Tasmanian devil). Its description in RNAcentral is "lncRNA (ENSSHAG00000027263.1)". The record is from RNAcentral. Lineage: Eukaryota; Metazoa; Chordata; Mammalia; Dasyuromorphia; Dasyuridae.
UCAAUACUUACUCAACAUAUUUUAGUUAAGCAUCAUGGUGCAGUGGACAGGACAAUGGAUUUCCAGUUGUAGUAUCCUGGAUCAACUCUCAGUCCUGGUUCAAAUCCAAGCCUUGUGUGACUUUGGGGUCCACUGUACCAGGUCCCAGUCCAUCUGAUUCCAUCUUCAAACCAAUAUUUUCUUCAUUUGCCUGCAAGAUUAGAUUGAGAGAGGAUAGACUGUUAUGUUGAAAUCAGAAUCAUGGAAUCAAUAGCUAUAUCUCCAAAAGAUAUAGCCUACAAUAACCAACAAAAAUCACAUGCUAAUGGAAGAACACAGCUGGAA